This 446-nucleotide ribosomal RNA is filed under the name uncultured bacterium. RNAcentral describes it as "bacterial SSU rRNA". It matches the Rfam family "Bacterial small subunit ribosomal RNA", at positions 329 to 792 of the family's 1533-position model. The record is from RNAcentral.
UUCCAGACUCCUACGGGAGGCAGCAGUGGGGAAUAUUGCACAAUGGGGGAAACCCUGAUGCAGCGACGCCGCGUGAGUGAGGAAGUAUUUCGGUAUGUAAAGCUCUAUCGGCAGGGAAGAAAAUGACGGUACCUGACUAAGAAGCCCCGGCUAACUACGUGCCAGCAGCCGCGGUAAUACGUAGGGGGCAAGCGUUAUCCGGAUUUACUGGGUGUAAAGGGAGCGUAGACGGCAUGGCAAGUCUGAAGUGAAAGCCCGGGGCUCAACCGCGGGACUGCUUUGGAAACUGUUAAGCUGGAGUGCAGGAGAGGUAAGUGGAAUUCCUAGUGUAGCGGUGAAAUGCGUAGAUAUUAGGAGGAACACCAGUGGCGAAGGCGGCUUACUGGACUGUAACUGACGUUGAGGCUCGAAAGCGUGGGGAGCAAACAGGAUUAGAUACCCGAGUA